Non-coding RNA from Triticum urartu, 106 nucleotides. Lineage: Eukaryota; Viridiplantae; Streptophyta; Magnoliopsida; Poales; Poaceae. The record is from Rfam.
GUGAGCCGCAUGCGGGGAGACCCGCACGUAUGGUUUUCAGGGGGAUCCGGCCGGCCGGCGCCCGUAUGGUUUUCCGGGGGAUCCGGCUGGUCGGCGCCCACCCGAC